AAAGGAAUUGACGGGGACCCGCACAAGCGGUGGAUGAUGUGGUUUAAUUCGAUGCAACGCGAAAAACCUUACCCACCUUUGACAUGUACGGAAUCCUGCAGAGAUGCGGGAGUGCUCGCAAGAGAGCCGUAACACAGGUGCUGCAUGGCUGUCGUCAGCUCGUGUCGUGAGAUGUUGGGUUAAGUCCCGCAACGAGCGCAACCCUUGCCAUCAGUUGCUACGAAAGGGCACUCUGAUGGGACUGCCGGUGACAAACCGGAGGAAGGUGGGGAUGACGUCAAGUCCUCAUGGCCCUUAUAGGUGGGGCUACACACGUCAUACAAUGGCCGGUACAAAGGGCAGCGAAGCCGCGAGGUGAAGCCAAUCCCAUAAAGCCGGUCGUAGUCCGGAUCGCAGUCUGCAACUCGACUGCGUGAAGUCGGAAUCGCUAGUAAUCGUGGAUCAGCAUGUCACGGUGAAUACGUUCCCGGGUCUUGUACACACCGCCCGU
RNAcentral lists this ribosomal RNA (490 nucleotides) under uncultured bacterium. Its description in RNAcentral is "bacterial SSU rRNA". It matches the Rfam family "Bacterial small subunit ribosomal RNA", at positions 903 to 1397 of the family's 1533-position model. The record is from RNAcentral.